This is a long non-coding RNA of Sinocyclocheilus rhinocerous, 88 nucleotides long. RefSeq lists it as uncharacterized. Lineage: Eukaryota; Metazoa; Chordata; Actinopteri; Cypriniformes; Cyprinidae. The record is from RefSeq and is a predicted model, not a curated record. The transcript has 2 exons.
UCACACCUAAUUCCUCACCCAGUCCAAUUCGAAGGUUUCGAGGAGGAUCUGUGAGCUCUGGAGUGAGAUGGCCAUCAGUUGCACCUUU